RNAcentral lists this ribosomal RNA (277 nucleotides) under Dolosigranulum pigrum. RNAcentral describes it as "partial 23S ribosomal RNA". It matches the Rfam family "Bacterial large subunit ribosomal RNA", at positions 500 to 781 of the family's 2925-position model. Lineage: Bacteria; Bacillati; Bacillota; Bacilli; Lactobacillales; Carnobacteriaceae. The record is from RNAcentral.
ACCGUGAGGGAAAGGUGAAAAGAACCCCGGAAGGGGAGUGAAAAGCACUUGAAACCGUAUGCUUACAAGUAGUCAGAGCCCGUUAAUGGGUGAUGGCGUACCUUUUGUAGAAUGGACCGGCGAGUGACGAUUUCAUGCAAGGUUAAUCUGAAGAAGAGGAGCCGCAGCGAAAGCGAGUCUGAAUAGGGCGUGCAGUAUGAGGUCGUCGACCCGAAACCAGGUGACCUACCCAUGUGCAGGGUGAAGGUGCGGUGAAACGCACUGGAGGCCCGAACCC